CUCUUUCCUUUUAACUUUUAUCUCAUCCUCUUCCGCCACCCCCUCCCCUCCUCUUCUCUCUCUCUCUCUCUCUCUCUCUCUCUCUCUUUCUCUCUCUCUCUCUCGAUUAACGCCACUCUUUCUCAGAGACGCGCAUAAAACAAUCUCUCUAUAGAACACUGCUCUUCGUUUCUUGACGGUGCGAGAAGAUGGUCAAGGUAGAGUGGGUGAGGACGGCGAUGACUGAUGAUACCUUGGUGGCCGAGCUCCUGGUGCGUCUCAAGCAGUCUCAAGCUGCGUCUUCUUCUCACAAAUCUUGGCCUAGAGCCGUCAUACCGCUCAGAUGGGGGCUGAGGCAACCACGUUCGAGGCCGGCUGCUUUCAGAUGUGACGUCGUUCCGCGGAGGAAAGAAGCUGAUUCGAGAUGUAGCCCCACCACGCCUCUCUCCUGGAGCGGCGGCGGCGGCUCCCCUUCCGCCACCGCAACUGCCGACGGCUUCGAGGAAUCUAACGUCCACGCCAGCUUUUAUUUUGCCGCCUUCAGAUCCAAGGGUACUGCUGCAAAUGAAUCCACCGCUACCAAGAGGUCAAGAAGAAAAAAGACAUUUGCUGAACUUAAAGAUGAGGAGAAUUCCCUAUUGAAGGAAAGGAUAUAUUUGAAAAAGGAGUUGGCAACAUUACGAGCAACUUUCAAGGAACAGAAAGCUAGAAACGAGAGCUUUAAGAGAAUGAAGCUUGACUUGAUUUUGCAUUCUGCAAAGAACCCGAAUGCAACUGUUGACGGACAGGAGAACGCAGUUCUCAGAGAACCCAUUCAGGCCUCUACUUCUUACCAUACUUUUCCAAGAUUACGAGAAGAUUCCCCAAAUGAUGAUACCAUGCAAUCAGAACCUUGCACCACCGACAAGGCCACUGCCUCUGUAAGGGACAGCAGCUGCUUUCUGCCCGAUCUAAAUAUGAUGCCAUCUGAGGAGGAUUCUAGUUCUUAGAUAUAGGAUGAGCUGAGGACUACAUGUUGACGGUUUUUCUUCUCCUUCCCAAGGGAUCUGGUUUGAUAAGACUAUUAGACGGUCUCUAUUCUUACUGAAAACAUGAUCUUCUGGUACAUGGCGCAUGGCCAACUAAGGAGAACUUCGUGGAACUGUGUAAAAACUUGGACGAAGUUUGCACUGGGUACGCUGCGUAGCUAGUCCAAGCCGUUGGGCUCCCGGUAUUCUCAAUUGCAGCCAGGUUAUUUCCCUCAAAAGCUAAUUGGGGGUUAAAUCAUCGUUACUUGUCGUUUCAGAAUUAUGUCAUUCUUUGUAGGCAACACGCUGUUGGACUUUCAUGUUGAAGCAAACAUCGGGCUGUCACUGUCGAUCGGUAUUCGGAGAAGCAUUAGCUUUGACGAGUGAGUGAUUGAAUAGCUGAAUUUACAUCUCGGUGAAUUUUGGACAUUGAAAAGGGGGUGCGACUUUGUCAACCGACUCAACCCGAUAGAUAUUGUUAAGAAUUUAGACUUUAUUUUUGUAUAUGCUCCGGGCUGUAGUUCAGUUUUUUCACCAUCUCAUAUUCGGAAUGAUUCAACAAAAGCGGAAAAUGCUAAUGAUUGACUGGAGAAAUGGUUUUUGAGUUUGUUUGAA
Carya illinoinensis is the source of this 1601-nucleotide RNA transcript. RefSeq lists it as uncharacterized. The record is from RefSeq and is a predicted model, not a curated record. The transcript is spliced from 6 exons. NCBI's taxonomy places the organism in Eukaryota, Viridiplantae, Streptophyta, Magnoliopsida, Fagales, Juglandaceae.